This 382-nucleotide ribosomal RNA is filed under the name uncultured eukaryote. RNAcentral's name for it is "partial 18S ribosomal RNA". It matches the Rfam family "Eukaryotic small subunit ribosomal RNA", at positions 592 to 976 of the family's 1831-position model. The record is from RNAcentral.
UGUAAGCGUAUACCAAAGUUGUUGCAGUUAAAACGCUCGUAGUCGGAAUUUGGCAGUUCCGGAAGUGUGCACGUCGUGUGCGCACUUUGCGGGGACUGCUUUUGUGGUCUUGCGUAGGAUGAGGCACUUUCAUUAGUGAACGUCCUCACGCAACCACUCAUUACUGUGAGAAAAUCAGAGUGCUCAAAGCAGGCAUUUGCCGUGAAUGUAUUAGCAUGGAAUAAUAGAAUAGGACUCGGUUCUAUUUUGUUGGUUUGUUGGGACUGAGUAAUGAUUAAGAGGGACAGUUGGGGGCAUUUGUAUUCCGGCGCUAGAGGUGAAAUUCUUAGAUUGCCGGAAGACAAACUGCUGCGAAAGCGUCUGCCAAGGAUGUUUUCAUUGA